UUCCGCAAUGGACGAAAGUCUGACGGAGCAACGCCGCGUGAGUGAUGACGGCCUUCGGGUUGUAAAGCUCUGUUAAUCGGGACGAAAGGCCUUCUUGCGAAUAGUGAGAAGGAUUGACGGUACCGGAAUAGAAAGCCACGGCUAACUACGUGCCAGCAGCCGCGGUAAUACGUAGGUGGCAAGCGUUGUCCGGAAUUAUUGGGCGUAAAGCGCGCGCAGGCGGAUAGGUCAGUCUGUCUUAAAAGUUCGGGGCUUAACCCCGUGAUGGGAUGGAAACUGCCAAUCUAGAGUAUCGGAGAGGAAAGUGGAAUUCCUAGUGUAGCGGUGAAAUGCGUAGAUAUUAGGAAGAACACCAGUGGCGAAGGCGACUUUCUGGACGAAAACUGACGCUGAGGCGCGAAAGCCAGGGGAGCGAACGGGAUUAGAUACCCCGGUAGUCCUGGCCGUAAACGAUGGGUACUAGGUGUAGGAGGUAUCGACCCCUUCUGUGCCGGAGUUAACGCAAUAAGUAUCCCGGCCUGGGGAGUACGACCGCAAGGUUGAAACUCAAAGGAAUUGACGGGGGCCCGCACAAGCGGUGGAGUAUGUGGUAUAAU
RNAcentral lists this ribosomal RNA (596 nucleotides) under Veillonella dispar. RNAcentral's name for it is "bacterial SSU rRNA". It matches the Rfam family "Bacterial small subunit ribosomal RNA", at positions 364 to 950 of the family's 1533-position model. The record is from RNAcentral. Lineage: Bacteria; Bacillati; Bacillota; Negativicutes; Veillonellales; Veillonellaceae.